RNAcentral lists this ribosomal RNA (274 nucleotides) under uncultured bacterium. RNAcentral's name for it is "partial 16S ribosomal RNA". It matches the Rfam family "Bacterial small subunit ribosomal RNA", at positions 523 to 796 of the family's 1533-position model. The record is from RNAcentral.
AUACGGAGGGGGCUAGCGUUGUUCGGAAUUACUGGGCGUAAAGCGUCCGCAGGCGGAUAAUUAAGUUAGAGGUGAAAUCCCAGGGCUCAACCCUGGAACUGCCUUUAAAACUGGUUAUCUAGAGUUAUGGAGAGGUAAGUGGAAUUCCUAGUGUAGAGGUGAAAUUCGUAGAUAUUAGGAGGAACACCAGAGGCGAAGGCGGCUUACUGGACAUAUACUGACGCUGAGGGACGAAAGUGUGGGGAGCGAACGGGAUUAGAUACCCCUGUAGUCC